This 75-nucleotide transfer RNA is filed under the name Candidatus Micrarchaeota archaeon CG10_big_fil_rev_8_21_14_0_10_59_7. Its description in RNAcentral is "tRNA-Glu". It matches the Rfam family "tRNA". From Rfam's summary of the family: Transfer RNA (tRNA) molecules are approximately 80 nucleotides in length. Their secondary structure includes four short double-helical elements and three loops (D, anti-codon, and T loops). Further hydrogen bonds mediate the characteristic L-shaped molecular structure. tRNAs have two regions of fundamental functional importance: the anti-codon, which is responsible for specific mRNA codon recognition, and the 3' end, to which the tRNAs corresponding amino acid is attached (by aminoacyl-tRNA synthetases). tRNAs cope with the degeneracy of the genetic code in two manners: having more than one tRNA (with a specific anti-codon) for a particular amino acid; and 'wobble' base-pairing, i.e. permitting non-standard base-pairing at the 3rd anti-codon position. Lineage: Archaea; Nanobdellati; Microcaldota. The record is from RNAcentral.
GCUCCGAUCGUCUAGUCCGGCCAAGGACGCUGGCCUUUCAAGCCGGUAACCCGGGUUCAAAUCCCGGUCGGAGCA